RNAcentral lists this ribosomal RNA (300 nucleotides) under uncultured Sulfurospirillum sp. RNAcentral describes it as "bacterial SSU rRNA". The stretch from base 52 to 300 matches the Rfam family "Bacterial small subunit ribosomal RNA", at positions 547 to 795 of the family's 1533-position model. The record is from RNAcentral. Lineage: Bacteria; Pseudomonadati; Campylobacterota; Epsilonproteobacteria; Campylobacterales; Sulfurospirillaceae.
GCUGAUCAGGGGGCAGAGGGAGAGGGAAAGCAGGGGGUGCAAGCAGUAAGUGGAUUUACUGUGGGUAAAGGUCGCGUAGGGUGGUAAGUAAGUCAAAUGUGAAAUGCCCGAGGUUAACGUGGGAAUGGCAGUCGAUACUGGUUAGCUAGAGUAUGGGAGAGGAUGGGAGAAGUCCAGGUGUAGCGGUGAAAUGCGUAGAGAUCUGGAGGAAUACCGAUGGCGAAGGCAGCCAUCUGGCCUAAGACUGACACUGAGGUGCGAAAGCAUGGGGAGCAAACAGGAUUAGAUACCCCAGUAGUC